AGGGUUUGAUCAUGGCUCAGGAUGAACGCUGGCGGUAUGCCUUAUACAUGCAAGUCGUACGAGAGUUUUUAACUUAAGUGGCGGACGGGUGAGUAACACGUAAGAAUUUGCCUUUAGGAGGGGGACAACAACUGGAAACGGUUGCUAAUACCCCAUAUGCUUUCGAGUGAAACGGAUUAUUCCGCCUAAAGAGAAGCUUGCGGCUGAUUAGCUUGUUGGUGAGGUAAUGGCUCACCAAGGCGACGAUCAGUAUCUGGUUUGAGAGGACGAUCAGACACACUGGAACUGAGACACGGUCCAGACUCCUACGGGAGGCAGCAGUAGGGAAUUUUCCGCAAUGGGCGAAAGCCUGACGAAGCAAUACCGCGUGAGGGAUGAAUGCCUAUGGGUUGUAAACCUCUUUUUUCAGGGAGGAAUAAAUGACGUGUAUCUGAAGAAUAAGCAUCGGCUAACUCCGUGCCAGCAGCCGCGGUAAGACGGAGGAUGCAAGUGUUAUCCGGAAUCACUGGGCGUAAAGCGUCUGUAGGUGGUCAAAUAAGUCAACUGUUAAAUCUUGAGGCUUAACCUCAAAACUGCAGUCGAAACUAUUAGACUAGAGUAUAGUAGAGGUAAAGGGAAUUUCCAGUGGAGCGGUGAAUUGCGUAGAGAUUGGAAAGAACACCGAUGGCGAAGGCACUUUACUGGGCUAUUACUGACACUCAGAGACGAAAGCUAGGGUAGCAAAUGGGAUUAGAUACCCCAGCAGUCCUAGCUGUAAACAAUGGAUACUAGGUGUUGAACAGAUCGACCUGUGCAGUACUAAAGCUAACGCGCUAAGUAUCCCGCCUGGGAAGUAUGCACGCAAGUGUGAAACUCAAAGGAAUUGACGGGGGCCCGCACAAGCGGUGGAGCAUGUGGUUU
RNAcentral lists this ribosomal RNA (900 nucleotides) under uncultured eukaryote. Its description in RNAcentral is "bacterial SSU rRNA". It matches the Rfam family "Bacterial small subunit ribosomal RNA", at positions 8 to 947 of the family's 1533-position model. The record is from RNAcentral.